GAGGUCCAAGGUUGUGCAGCGUCAGUGUUCAGAGAUGGAGACUGAGCCUAGCCCUCCCCCACAGUCUAGCUCCUUGUCUCAGAGUAGAGACAAUUUCUGGCACAGGAUUCUAUGUCAGCCAAGGUGGAUGUCCUCUUCACUUUCACCACCAACAAUCUCACUUUUUUAUAAACACAAGGUUUAGAAAUGCUCCAAUCAAAUUCACUCUUACUGAUAGAGUAUGCUGUUUCUUAGUGAAGUGUCUCCUGAGCCCACCCCAUCCUACGGCCCAGUUCAGAUGCAGAUGUUCUCAAAUAAACCUGAAGGACUAGUUGGUGUGGACAUGGCAGGAUCACCUCCAGCAGGACAGAGAGUUAAAAAAGGGGGAAGGCUGGGUCUAGGAAAGCUACCUUCUCCAGUGGAACUGAUGGGCCGGAAGAAGAAGGGGAGGACAGGGGGUGCAGCACAGAGCAGCCAGGUGGUGCAACCCAGGGUGGCAGCAGUGCUGCAGCACAUUGGGGACCUCCGCAGGAGACAGAGCUCUAUUGACCAGUUGAAGCGGGGGAGUUGGUGGGGCUCCAAACCCAGGUGUAAGGCAGAAAAGGGCUGUUCCCAGAGGCAAGCAGAUGACAGCAGCAUGACUAUCAGCACCACAGUGGAGAAGCAGGAUGAAGCUACGGACUACCUCAGUCCAACCCUCACUCGUCCUUACACCCAGAAGGAGGCAUGGACUCAACUCUCACUGACUGAUAUUAUAUUUAAGAGUAACUGGAAUUGA
This 757-nucleotide long non-coding RNA is filed under the name Oncorhynchus mykiss (rainbow trout). RNAcentral's name for it is "lncRNA (ENSOMYG00000058027.1)". Lineage: Eukaryota; Metazoa; Chordata; Actinopteri; Salmoniformes; Salmonidae. The record is from RNAcentral.